GUUAAGCGACUAAGCGUACACGGUGGAUGCCCUGGCAGUCAGAGGCGAUGAAGGGCGUGCUAAUCUGCGAUAAGCGCCGGUAAGGUGAUAUGAACCGUUAUAACCGGCGAUACCCGAAUGGGGAAACCCAGUGUGAUUCGUCACACUAUCAUUAACUGAAUCCAUAGGUUAAUGAGGCGAACCGGGGGAACUGAAACAUCUAAGUACCCCGAGGAAAAGAAAUCAACCGAGAUUCCCCCAGUAGCGGCGAGCGAACGGGGAGGAGCCCAGAGCCUGAAUCAGCAUGUGUGUUAGUGGAAGCGUCUGGAAAGGCGCGCGAUACAGGGUGACAGCCCCGUACACAAAAGCGCAUGUGCUGUGAGCUCGAUGAGUAGGGCGGGACACGUGGUAUCCUGUCUGAAUAUGGGGGGACCAUCCUCCAAGGCUAAAUACUCCUGACUGACCGAUAGUGAACCAGUACCGUGAGGGAAAGGCGAAAAGAACCCCGGCGAGGGGAGUGAAAAAGAACCUGAAACCGUGUACGUACAAGCAGUGGGAGCCCCACCACUAAGCCAGUGGUGAACUCCACAUACGCAUCCUUUGCUGAGGAGACGGUUAACGGAGCGAAAGCGACGUUCAACCUCAAAACAAGCAGAGGGGGCUUAGUGGUGGGGUGACUGCGUACCUUUUGUAUAAUGGGUCAGCGACUUAUAUUCUGUAGCAAGGUUAACCGAAUAGGGGAGCCGGAGGGAAACCGAGUCUUAAUUGGGCGUUAAGUUGCAGGGUAUAGACCCGAAACCCGGUGAUCUAGCCAUGGGCAGGUUGAAGGUUGGGUAACACUAACUGGAGGACCGAACCGACUAAUGUUGAAAAAUUAGCGGAUGACCUGUGGCUGGGGGUGAAAGGCCAAUCAAACCGGGAGAUAGCUGGUUCUCCCCGAAAGCUAUUUAGGUAGCGCCUCGUGAAUUCAUCUCCGGGGGUAGAGCACUGUUUCGGCUAGGGGGCCAUCCCGGCUUACCAACCCGAUGCAAACUGCGAAUACCGGAGAAUGUUAUCACGGGAGACACACGGCGGGUGCUAACGUCCGUCGUGAAGAGGGAAACAACCCAGACCGCCAGCUAAGGUCCCAAAGUCAUGGUUAAGUGGGAAACGAUGUGGGAAGGCCCAGACAGCCAGGAUGUUGGCUUAGAAGCAGCCAUCAUUUAAAGAAAGCGUAAUAGCUCACUGGUCGAGUCGGCCUGCGCGGAAGAUGUAACGGGGCUAAACCAUGCACCGAAGCUGCGGCAGCGAACGUAUCACUUAAAGCGAUUCAGCGGGUUACGAUUGACGGAGCGAAGCGACGUCAAAGCGUAUACAAAGUCGAGUCGGUUUAAGGAUACGUUCGUUGGGUAGGGGAGCGUUCUGUAAGCCUGUGAAGGUGGCCUGUGAGGGUUGCUGGAGGUAUCAGAAGUGCGAAUGCUGACAUAAGUAACGAUAAAGCGGGUGAAAAGCCCGCUCGCCGGAAGACCAAGGGUUCCUGUCCAACGUUAAUCGGGGCAGGGUGAGUCGACCCCUAAGGCGAGGCCGAAAGGCGUAGUCGAUGGGAAACGGGUUAAUAUUCCCGUACUUGGUGUUACUGCGAAGGGGGGACGGAGAAGGCUAUGUUGGCCGGGCGACGGUUGUCCCGGUUUAAGCGUGUAGGUGUGUGUUCCAGGUAAAUCCGGUUCACUUUAACACUGAGGCGUGAUGACGAGGCACUACGGUGCUGAAGCAACAAAUGCCCUGCUUCCAGGAAAAGCCUCUAAGCAUCAGGUAACAUCAAAUCGUACCCCAAACCGACACAGGUGGUCAGGUAGAGAAUACCAAGGCGCUUGAGAGAACUCGGGUGAAGGAACUAGGCAAAAUGGUGCCGUAACUUCGGGAGAAGGCACGCUGACACGUAGGUGAAGUGAUUUACUCAUGGAGCUGAAGUCAGUCGAAGAUACCAGCUGGCUGCAACUGUUUAUUAAAAACACAGCACUGUGCAAACACGAAAGUGGACGUAUACGGUGUGACGCCUGCCCGGUGCCGGAAGGUUAAUUGAUGGGGUCAGCGCAAGCGAAGCUCCUGAUCGAAGCCCCGGUAAACGGCGGCCGUAACUAUAACGGUCCUAAGGUAGCGAAAUUCCUUGUCGGGUAAGUUCCGACCUGCACGAAUGGCGUAAUGAUGGCCAGGCUGUCUCCACCCGAGACUCAGUGAAAUUGAACUCGCUGUGAAGAUGCAGUGUACCCGCGGCAAGACGGAAAGACCCCGUGAACCUUUACUAUAGCUUGACACUGAACAUUGAGCCUUGAUGUGUAGGAUAGGUGGGAGGCUUUGAAGUGUGGACGCCAGUCUGCAUGGAGCCGACCUUGAAAUACCACCCUUUAAUGUUUGAUGUUCUAACGUGGACCCGUAAUCCGGGUUGCGGACAGUGUCUGGUGGGUAGUUUGACUGGGGCGGUCUCCUCCUAAAGAGUAACGGAGGAGCACGAAGGUUGGCUAAUCCUGGUCGGACAUCAGGAGGUUAGUGCAAUGGCAUAAGCCAGCUUGACUGCGAGCGUGACGGCGCGAGCAGGUGCGAAAGCAGGUCAUAGUGAUCCGGUGGUUCUGAAUGGAAGGGCCAUCGCUCAACGGAUAAAAGGUACUCCGGGGAUAACAGGCUGAUACCGCCCAAGAGUUCAUAUCGACGGCGGUGUUUGGCACCUCGAUGUCGGCUCAUCACAUCCUGGGGCUGAAGUAGGUCCCAAGGGUAUGGCUGUUCGCCAUUUAAAGUGGUACGCGAGCUGGGUUUAGAACGUCGUGAGACAGUUCGGUCCCUAUCUGCCGUGGGCGCUGGAGAACUGAGGGGGGCUGCUCCUAGUACGAGAGGACCGGAGUGGACGCAUCACUGGUGUUCGGGUUGUCAUGCCAAUGGCACUGCCCGGUAGCUAAAUGCGGAAGAGAUAAGUGCUGAAAGCAUCUAAGCACGAAACUUGCCCCGA
RNAcentral lists this ribosomal RNA (2959 nucleotides) under Salmonella enterica subsp. enterica serovar Saintpaul. Its description in RNAcentral is "partial 23S ribosomal RNA". It matches the Rfam family "Bacterial large subunit ribosomal RNA". Lineage: Bacteria; Pseudomonadati; Pseudomonadota; Gammaproteobacteria; Enterobacterales; Enterobacteriaceae. The record is from RNAcentral.